RNAcentral lists this ribosomal RNA (460 nucleotides) under uncultured bacterium. Its description in RNAcentral is "partial 16S ribosomal RNA". It matches the Rfam family "Bacterial small subunit ribosomal RNA", at positions 338 to 795 of the family's 1533-position model. The record is from RNAcentral.
CCUACGGGUGGCUGCAGUGAGGAAUAUUGGUCAAUGGCCGAGAGGCUGAACCAGCCAAGUAGCGUGAAGGAUGACUGUCCUAUGGGUUGUAAACUUCUUUUAUCUGGGAAUAAAAUGUUCCACGUGUGGGUUUUUGUAUGUACCAUAUGAAUAAGCAUCGGCUAACUCCGUGCCAGCAGCCGCGGUAAUACGGAGGAUCCGAGCGUUAUCCGGAUUUAUUGGGUUUAAAGGGAGCGUAGGUGGAUUGUUAAGUCAGUUGUGAAAGUUUGCGGCUCAACCGUAACAUUGCAGUUGAAACUGGCAGUCUUGAGUACAGUAGAGGUGGGCGGAAUUCGUGGUGUAGCGGUGAAAUGCUUAGAUAUCACGAAGAACUCCGAUUGCGAAGGCAGCUCACUGGACUGCAACUGACACUGAGGCUCGAAAGUGUGGGUAUCAAACAGGAUUAGAUACCCUGGUAGUC